Molecule: long non-coding RNA, 567 nt
Organism: Astyanax mexicanus (Mexican tetra)
Lineage: Eukaryota; Metazoa; Chordata; Actinopteri; Characiformes; Acestrorhamphidae
Exons: 3
Source: RefSeq, a predicted model, not a curated record
AUACUAUAGCCUUACGUAAUUUGGUGAUUUUGGUGAAAAAUGAAAAGUGUUUUUUAUUGCAUAUCUGAAUAAAACUGGAUACAUUUCACCAUGCCCAGGGGGGUUCCCUGCUUAUUUGAUUCAUUUUUCAUGGAAAAAUUGAGGUUUUAUGAAUGGUCCAAAAUUACACCAAAUGGUAAUACUAUAGCCUUACGUAAUUUGGUGAUUUUGGUGAAAAAUGAAAAGUGUUUUUUAUUGCAUAUCUGAAUACAAUUCAAUACAUUUCACCAUGCCCAGGGGUUUUCCCUACUUAUUUGAGUCAUUUUUCAUGGAAAAAUCAGGUUUUCAUGAAUGGUCCAAAAUUACACCAAAAGGUAAUACUAUAGCCUUACGUAAUUUGGUGAUUUUGGUGAAAAAUGAAAAGUGUUUUUUAUUGCAUAUCUGAAUACAAUUCAAUACAUUUCACCAUGCCCAGGGGUUUUCCCUGCUUAUUUGAUUCAUUUUUCAUGGAAAAAUCAGGUUCUCAUGAAUGGUCCAAAAUUACACCAAAAGGUAAUACUAUAGCCUUACGUAAUUUGGUGAUUUUGG